Molecule: long non-coding RNA, 617 nt
Filed under: Androctonus crassicauda
Lineage: Eukaryota; Metazoa; Arthropoda; Arachnida; Scorpiones; Buthidae
Source: RNAcentral
AUUUUCUAGCUUCUCCAGCUGAGACUUCUCGGAGCAUUUUCUGAAUUCACCCUAUGUUAUAUGAUCCUCAUGUAGCCGGUUCCUCCAAUGACAUAAACUCGAAUUAUAAGAAUCUAUCUUCGUGAUAACAUGACGUAUAAAUGCCACUCUAAAAGGAAAUCGUUCGUCAAUGAAGUUCUAGUUAAUAAAUCUCCAGUUUCGUUUGUUAGUAGGAAGGCGAUAUAUUGAUUUUGUUUUAACCCAUGUUGCUAGUGCACGUUAGUAAUGGCUAGUAUGAGUGCCGAAUGUUUGAUGAAAGAAUUUCUGUGUAUCGACAAAAAGAACAAUGGAACUGAUCUACCCGGGGAGAGUGUCCUAUAUCGAGAACGUAGCUUACGAUCGGCGAAUCGCCGUAAGAGAAAGCGCGACUUCGCAUGUCGCCGCCAUCUAUCGGGAAGCAAAAUAUUUAUUUCUCUUUGCUGAUUUUUUCCCGUUAUUAGGAGUUUUCUCACUUCUAUCCUUUACCCUACGGCGCUUUUUGUCUUCGGAUAACUCUGUCUUCACGUGACUCGAUGCCGGGUCCUUUCAUUGCGAAGGCCACUUCUAUACAGACUAUGCCAUGCGUUCUUUUUAGCGAU